UACGAAGGUCCCAAGCGUUGUUCGGAAUCACUGGGCGUAAAGGGAGCGUAGGCGGCGUGGUAAGUCAGAUGUGAAAUCCCGGGGCUCAACCCCGGAACUGCAUCCGAUACUGCCAUGCUUGAGGGUUGGAGAGGUAGCUGGAAUUCUCGGUGUAGCAGUGAAAUGCGUGGAUAUCGAGAGGAACACUCGUGGCGAAGGCGAGCUACUGGACAACAUCUGACGCUGAGGCUCGAAGGCUAGGGGAGCAAAAGGG
RNAcentral lists this ribosomal RNA (253 nucleotides) under uncultured bacterium. RNAcentral describes it as "partial 16S ribosomal RNA". It matches the Rfam family "Bacterial small subunit ribosomal RNA", at positions 524 to 776 of the family's 1533-position model. RNAcentral also lists the same sequence under 1 other name. The record is from RNAcentral.